CUUUGACGUUAAUUAUUCGUCCUGUCCUCUUCUCUCUAACUUCGAUUGAAUGAACUGCUCCUACCUACCUUCGUCAGUUUCACUACACUUCACUGACACUCAACUGAGAAAAACUCCCUUAAAAAUCCUACUUUAUCGUAUUCUGUAAAUCGCGAUUUAUUAAACUAAUUCACAAACUUAAUCCUGAUUUAUAAAAACUCGUGACCUAAAACACAAUGGGAGUACUAACAUUCGGAAUUAUAAUAGGAAUCAUUAUCUUAUUUUUCGCCAUUGUUUGUAUCAUCACCAUUGAAGGCACCUGCAAGCGUCGCUCUACUUAACUCCCCCCCCCUCUCUCUACUAUGUGGCGAAGACAAUUCAGCAGUAGCGCGACUUCCAUUAACGUCCUUAAAGACAAAAAAUGGGACGCCGUCAUCAUCGGCGGAGGACACAACGGCUUGACUGCAGCGGCUUAUUUAGCUCGCGGCGGAUUGUCUGUAGCCGUCCUUGAGCGGCGUCAUAUCAUCGGUGGUGCGGCUAUUACGGAGGAGCUUAUCCCUGGGUUUAAGUUUUCUCGUUGUAGUUAUCUCCAGAGUCUUCUUCGUCCUUCUGUCAUUAAGGAGCUGGAAUUGGAGAAGCAUGGAUUGAAGAUGUUAGCAAGGAAUCCUUCGUCGUUUACGCCGUGUUUGGAUGGGAAGUACCUUCUGUUAGGGCCUGAUAAAGAGCUUAAUCGUUCUGAGAUCUCAAAAUUCUCCGUAAAUGAUGCUGAUGCUUAUCCUAGAUAUGAGAGUCAGCUCGAAAGCUUCUGUAAAUUCUUGGAUCCUAUUCUGGAUUCUCAGACUCCUGAAAAUUUUGAAGGCACCUCAUCAUUUGGUGACAAGAUGAAAAAUAAGCUGUACAAAUCAAGUUUUUGGUCUGGUUGUCUUCACCGUGCAGCCUCCCUAGGGCAAAAGGAGAUGGUGGAUUUCAUGCACCUUCUUUUGUCCCCAGCUUCAAAACUUCUGAAUAACUGGUUUGAGUCUGAUGUUCUGAAAGCAACACUGGCUACAGAUGCUGUAAUUGGAAGCAUGGCAAGUGUACACACGCCAGGUAGUGCGUAUGUUUUGCUGCAUCAUGUGAUGGGAGAAACGAAUGGGGAACGCGGCAUAUGGUCGUAUGUCGAAGGAGGUAUGGGUUCUGUAUCGUUAACCAUUAGCCAUGCUGCCAAGGAAGCUGGAGCUAAUAUAAUUACUAAUGCUGAAGUAUCACAGCUGCUGAUUGGAGAUUCUGGAGCUGUGAAAGGGGUAUUGCUUAAAGAUGGAACAGAAAUUCAUUCAUCUGUUGUACUAUCAAACGCAACCCCACAUAAAACCUUUGUGGAAUUAGUGCCAAAUGAUAAACUUCCUGAUGAUUUUCUUCGAUCCAUUAAGAACUGUGACUAUGCCUCUGGAACCACAAAAAUUAAUUUAGCAGUUGAUAAGUUGCCUCAGUUUGGCUGUUGCAACAACAAAAUAAGCCAUCUGAAUGGUGGUCCUGAGCACACUGGCACAAUUCACAUUGGUUCAGAAAGCAUGGAGGAGAUUCAUGCAGCCUGUCAAGAUGCCUUGAAUGGCAUACCAUCACGAAGACCUGUUAUCGAAAUGACCAUCCCUUCAGUGUUAGACAAAACAAUAUCUCCUCCAGGAAAACACGUGAUCAACUUAUUUAUUCAAUACACACCUUAUCAACCAUCAGAUGGUAGCUGGCAGGACACUGCAUACAGGGAAUCAUUUGCAAAACGGUGUUUUUCCUUGAUUGAUGAGUAUGCGCCUGGAUUCAGCUCAUCAGUUAUUGGAUAUGAUAUGCUUACUCCUCCAGACCUGGAAAGAGAAAUUGGCUUAACAGGAGGGAAUAUUUUUCAUGGAGCUAUGGGAUUAGAUUCUCUCUUUCUUAUGAGACCCGUAAAAGGAUGGUCGAAUUAUAGGACACCACUACAAGGAUUGUAUCUGUGUGGAAGCGGAGCUCAUCCAGGUGGUGGGGUUAUGGGAGCACCGGGGCGUAAUGCUGCACAUGUAGUUCUUAAUGAUGUAAAGAAGAAAUGAGUAAUGGGCAAUGAUCGUCUGGUAAGAGUAAAUUGAUUCAGACAAGAUUCAAGCUGGACUGUUAUUCCUGAGUGUUGAAUAUUCAUAAUUUUAGUUUUCUUGUCGUACAAAAGGUCGAGAGGGCCUGGAGCUGCUGGAUCCAUCUCUGCUGCAAUUCAACAAUAACUAAGCGUUAUGUAUUGUAAAAAUAAUUAAGUACUCAAAUUGUUUACUUAUGUUAUUUAUUUGUUUGAUAAUCUCUACGUUUGUAUACUCAAAUACAGUUACUGUUUACCUUGACGUGCAAGUUCUAGUGUUGUCACCGUCACUACCACACCGUCGACAAGCGUUGCGUCUCCGCGAUCCUUCGUCCAUUUCGUUCGUGAUCCUCUUGGACUUAGGUCUUCCUAAUCCACGAAUGUGAUCUGGAUCGUGUAGCACCUCAACACCGAUGUAUUGAGGCCAUGACCUCUUAUCAAUUAACGACAAGAAUAUGCAUUCAUAUGUGUUAACAUAGCUCUGGGUCGUGUAGCAGGAGUCGACAAAACGCUCAUAGGAUAAGUGUCGUUUAAUACAAACGGCAAGAAUAUGAGAACAAGGUAAGUGAUAUAUGGAGGGUUUGUUACAAGUGCAUUUCAUCUCUCUCAUAUCUACACUUUGUAUUUCAUCUCUCUCAUAUCUCAUGGUAGUUUGCCUUCUCGGUGUUACGGGUUAUAAUCCUAGUGGCGUGUGAAAUGUAUUUAUUUCCCCCAAUUAGCCACGCGUUCGCAUUCUCGCGUCUUUUAACAAAGUAAUCAUUAACACGAUAGAAGGUGAACUCCACAAGAGUGGUUAUAGGCAAGAAACGCACACCCUUCAUUACGUUAUUGAAUACUUCGGCCAAGUUGGUAUUAGUAACACCAUACCUAUACCCUCCAUCGUGACAUAUUGACCAUUUAGACAUUUCACCAACUUGAUCAAUCCAAAAAAGUGCUUCCCGAUUAGCAACACCAAUGGCCUUCAAUCCCUCGACGACCUUAUGUGGUUGUCUUUGCUCUGCAGUCCUUCCAUAUAUCUUCUUCAACUUCACAUUACCCAUUUGGCGGUCGAAGUUACUUAACAAAUGCGGCAAGCAAAACCUAUGAUGGGCGUUCGGAGGUUGCAAUUCCGGCUCCUCCAUGAUUGCUAGAAUGCCCGCAUGUCUAUCGGAAAUAACGCAUAACCCUGGACUAUGCAUCACAUGCUUACGAACA
Molecule: RNA transcript, 3250 nt
Organism: Amaranthus tricolor (Joseph's coat)
Lineage: Eukaryota; Viridiplantae; Streptophyta; Magnoliopsida; Caryophyllales; Amaranthaceae
Exons: 17
Source: RefSeq, a predicted model, not a curated record